UCCUCAGUAGCUCAAUGGCAGAGCACUCGGCUGUUAACCGAGGGGUUGUAGGUUCGAGUCCCACCUGGGGAGCCA
This 75-nucleotide transfer RNA is filed under the name Christensenellaceae bacterium. RNAcentral's name for it is "tRNA-Asn". It matches the Rfam family "tRNA". From Rfam's summary of the family: Transfer RNA (tRNA) molecules are approximately 80 nucleotides in length. Their secondary structure includes four short double-helical elements and three loops (D, anti-codon, and T loops). Lineage: Bacteria; Bacillati; Bacillota; Clostridia; Christensenellales; Christensenellaceae. The record is from RNAcentral.